This 525-nucleotide ribosomal RNA is filed under the name Salmonella enterica. RNAcentral describes it as "bacterial SSU rRNA". It matches the Rfam family "Bacterial small subunit ribosomal RNA", at positions 578 to 1102 of the family's 1533-position model. The record is from RNAcentral. Lineage: Bacteria; Pseudomonadati; Pseudomonadota; Gammaproteobacteria; Enterobacterales; Enterobacteriaceae.
GUCUGUCAAGUCGGAUGUGAAAUCCCCGGGCUCAACCUGGGAACUGCAUUCGAAACUGGCAGGCUUGAGUCUUGUAGAGGGGGGUAGAAUUCCAGGUGUAGCGGUGAAAUGCGUAGAGAUCUGGAGGAAUACCGGUGGCGAAGGCGGCCCCCUGGACAAAGACUGACGCUCAGGUGCGAAAGCGUGGGGAGCAAACAGGAUUAGAUACCCUGGUAGUCCACGCCGUAAACGAUGUCUACUUGGAGGUUGUGCCCUUGAGGCGUGGCUUCCGGAGCUAACGCGUUAAGUAGACCGCCUGGGGAGUACGGCCGCAAGGUUAAAACUCAAAUGAAUUGACGGGGGCCCGCACAAGCGGUGGAGCAUGUGGUUUAAUUCGAUGCAACGCGAAGAACCUUACCUGGUCUUGACAUCCACAGAACUUUCCAGAGAUGGAUUGGUGCCUUCGGGAACUGUGAGACAGGUGCUGCAUGGCUGUCGUCAGCUCGUGUUGUGAAAUGUUGGGUUAAGUCCCGCAACGAGCGCAAC